RNAcentral lists this ribosomal RNA (253 nucleotides) under uncultured bacterium. Its description in RNAcentral is "partial 16S ribosomal RNA". It matches the Rfam family "Bacterial small subunit ribosomal RNA", at positions 524 to 776 of the family's 1533-position model. The record is from RNAcentral.
UACGUAGGGUCCAAGCGUUAUCCGGAAUCACUGGGCGUAAAGCGCACGUAGGCGGCUUAGCAAGUCGGAUGUGAAAUCCCUCGGCUCAACCAAGGAAGUGCAUCCGAAACUGCUGAGCUUGAGUACGAAAGAGGAUCGCGGAAUUCCCGGUGUAGAGGUGAAAUUCGUAGAUAUCGGGAGGAACACCAGUGGCGAAGGCGGCGAUCUGGGUCGAUACUGACGCUGAGGUGCGAAAGCGUGGGGAUCAAACAGG